This 2916-nucleotide ribosomal RNA is filed under the name Acinetobacter baumannii. Its description in RNAcentral is "23S ribosomal RNA". It matches the Rfam family "Bacterial large subunit ribosomal RNA". The record is from RNAcentral. Lineage: Bacteria; Pseudomonadati; Pseudomonadota; Gammaproteobacteria; Moraxellales; Moraxellaceae.
GUUGUAUAGUCAAGUAAUUAAGUGCAUGUGGUGGAUGCCUUGGCAGUCAGAGGCGAUGAAAGACGUGAUAGCCUGCGAAAAGCUCCGGGGAGGCGGCAAAUAUCCUUUGAUCCGGAGAUGUCUGAAUGGGGGAACCCACCUACUUUAAGGUAGGUAUUGCAACAUGAAUACAUAGUGUUGCAAGGCGAACGAGGGGAAGUGAAACAUCUCAGUACCCUUAGGAAAAGAAAUCAAUUGAGAUUCCCUCAGUAGCGGCGAGCGAACGGGGAUCAGCCCAUUAAGUUAUGUGUGUUUUAGUGGAACGCUCUGGGAAGUGCGAACGUAGAGGGUGAUAUUCCCGUACACGAAAGGGCACACAUAAUGAUGACGAGUAGGGCGAGGCACGUGAAACCUUGUCUGAAUAUGGGGGACCAUCCUCCAAGGCUAAAUACUCCUGACUGACCGAUAGUGAACCAGUACCGUGAGGGAAAGGCGAAAAGAACCCCUGUGAGGGGAGUGAAAUAGAUCCUGAAACCGCAUGCAUACAAGCAGUGGGAGCACCUUCGUGGUGUGACUGCGUACCUUUUGUAUAAUGGGUCAGCGACUUAUAUUCAGUAGCGAGGUUAACCGUAUAGGGGAGCCGUAGAGAAAUCGAGUCUUAAUAGGGCGUUUAGUUGCUGGGUAUAGACCCGAAACCAGGCGAUCUAUCCAUGAGCAGGUUGAAGGUUGGGUAACACUAACUGGAGGACCGAACCCACUGUCGUUGAAAAGCCAGGGGAUGACUUGUGGAUAGGGGUGAAAGGCUAAUCAAGCCUGGUGAUAGCUGGUUCUCCCCGAAAGCUAUUUAGGUAGCGCCUCGGACGAAUACCAUAGGGGGUAGAGCACUGUUUCGGCUAGGGGGUCAUCCCGACUUACCAAACCGAUGCAAACUCCGAAUACCUAUGAGUACUAUCCGGGAGACAGACUGCGGGUGCUAACGUCCGUAGUCAAGAGGAAAACAAUCCAGACCGCCAGCUAAGGCCCCAAAAUCAUAGUUAAGUGGGAAACGAUGUGGGAAGGCAUAGACAGCUAGGAGGUUGGCUUAGAAGCAGCCACCCUUUAAAGAAAGCGUAAUAGCUCACUAGUCGAGUCGGCCUGCGCGGAAGAUGUAACGGGGCUAAAACUAUGUGCCGAAGCUGCGGAUGUAUACUUUGUAUACGUGGUAGGGGAGCGUUCUGUAAGCCGAUGAAGGUGUGUUGAGAAGCAUGCUGGAGGUAUCAGAAGUGCGAAUGCUGACGUGAGUAACGACAAAACGGGUGAAAAACCCGUUCGCCGAAAGACCAAGGGUUCCAGUCCAACGUUAAUCGGGGCUGGGUGAGUCGACCCCUAAGGCGAGGCCGAAAGGCGUAGUCGAUGGGAAAAUGGUUAAUAUUCCAUUACUUCUGUGUAAUGCGAUGAGAGGACGGAGAAGGCUAAAUCAGCCUGGCGUUGGUUGUCCAGGUGAAAGGAUGUAGGCAUGUAUCUUAGGCAAAUCCGGGGUACUCUAUGCUGAGAUCUGAUAGCAAGCUGUACUUGUACAGCGAAGUGGUUGAUGCCAUGCUUCCAGGAAAAGUCUCUAAGCUUCAGUUACACAGGAAUCGUACCCGAAACCGACACAGGUGGUCAGGUCGAGUAGACCAAGGCGCUUGAGAGAACUCUGCUGAAGGAACUAGGCAAAAUGGUACCGUAACUUCGGGAGAAGGUACGCUGUUGUUGGUGAUGGAACUCGCUUCCUGAGCUGACGACAGCCGCAGAAACCAGGCCGCUGCAACUGUUUAUUAAAAACAUAGCACUCUGCAAACACGAAAGUGGACGUAUAGGGUGUGAUGCCUGCCCGGUGCUGGAAGGUUAAUUGAUGGGGUUAGCGUAAGCGAAGCUCUUGAUCGAAGCCCCAGUAAACGGCGGCCGUAACUAUAACGGUCCUAAGGUAGCGAAAUUCCUUGUCGGGUAAGUUCCGACCUGCACGAAUGGCAUAAUGAUGGCGGCGCUGUCUCCAGCAGAGGCUCAGUGAAAUCGAAAUCGCUGUGAAGAUGCAGUGUACCCGCGGCUAGACGGAAAGACCCGUGAACCUUUACUGCAGCUUGACACUGAACUUUGACCUUACUUGUGUAGGAUAGGUGGGAGGCUUUGAAGCUGGAACGCUAGUUCCAGUGGAGCCGUCCUUGAAAUACCACCCUGGUAAUGUUGAGGUUCUAACUCUGUCCCGUGAUCCGGGACGAGGACCGUGUCUGGUGGGUAGUUUGACUGGGGCGGUCUCCUCCUAAAGAGUAACGGAGGAGUACGAAGGUGCGCUCAGCGUGGUCGGAAAUCACGCGUAGAGUAUAAAGGCAAAAGCGCGCUUAACUGCGAGACCCACAAGUCGAGCAGGUACGAAAGUAGGUCUUAGUGAUCCGGUGGUUCUGUAUGGAAGGGCCAUCGCUCAACGGAUAAAAGGUACUCUGGGGAUAACAGGCUGAUACCGCCCAAGAGUUCAUAUCGACGGCGGUGUUUGGCACCUCGAUGUCGGCUCAUCUCAUCCUGGGGCUGAAGCAGGUCCCAAGGGUAUGGCUGUUCGCCAUUUAAAGAGGUACGCGAGCUGGGUUUAGAACGUCGUGAGACAGUUCGGUCCCUAUCUACCGUGGGCGCUGGAAAUUUGAGAGGAUCUGCUCCUAGUACGAGAGGACCAGAGUGGACGAACCUCUGGUGUACCGGUUGUGACGCCAGUCGCAUCGCCGGGUAGCUAUGUUCGGAAGGGAUAACCGCUGAAAGCAUCUAAGCGGGAAGCCUACCUCAAGAUAAGAUUUCCCUAGGACUUUAUGUCCUCUAAAGAGCCGUUCGAGACUAGGACGUUGAUAGGUUGGAUGUGGAAGCAUAGUGAUAUGUGAAGCUGACCAAUACUAAUUGCUCGUGAGGCUUGACUAUACAACACCCAAGCAGUUG